RNAcentral lists this ribosomal RNA (468 nucleotides) under uncultured bacterium. RNAcentral's name for it is "partial 16S ribosomal RNA". It matches the Rfam family "Bacterial small subunit ribosomal RNA", at positions 28 to 507 of the family's 1533-position model. The record is from RNAcentral.
GACGAACGCUGGCGGCGUGCUUAACACAUGCAAGUCGAACGGAAAGGCCCUGCUUUUGUGGGGUGCUCGAGUGGCGAACGGGUGAGUAACACGUGAGUAACCUGCCCUUGACUUUGGGAUAACUUCAGGAAACUGGGGCUAAUACCGGCUAGGAGCUCCUGCUGCAUGGUGGGGGUUGGAAAGUUUCGGCGGUUGGGGAUGGACUCGCGGCUUAUCAGCUUGUUGGUGGGGUAGUGGCUUACCCAGGCUUUGACGGAUAGCCGGCCUGAGAGGGUGACCGGCGACAUUGGGACUGAGAUACGGCCCAGACUCCUACGGGAGGCAGCAGUGGGGAAUAUUGCACAAUGGGCGGAAGCCUGAUGCAGCAACGCCGCGUGCGGGAUGACGGCCUUCGGGUUGUAAACCGCUUUCGCCUGUGACGAAGCGUGAGUGACGGUAAUGGGUAAAGAAGCACCGGCUAACUACGUG